Long non-coding RNA from Mustela erminea (ermine), 4691 nucleotides. RefSeq lists it as uncharacterized. The transcript has 2 exons. The record is from RefSeq and is a predicted model, not a curated record. Lineage: Eukaryota; Metazoa; Chordata; Mammalia; Carnivora; Mustelidae.
CCUGUGCUCUCUUGAUCUCUCUCAAGUAAAUAAAUAAAAUCUUUUAAAAAAAAUAAUUCUGUGAACGGGCCUUUCCCGCAGGCCCGGCUGUUCUCCACGAGCCGGGCUACAGGGCUGUGCCAGCCGCGCACCUGCUCGGCCGCAGUGAUUGAUAGCAGACCGAUCGUGGACAAGGGACUGAUUCUGUAGUAGCUUUCCGUGGCGGUGCGUUUUCUGAAAACCCGAAGACCACUGCCGUGAUGAGGGCGCCGCCGCAAACCCUGACCGGUCAUGGGGUUCUCACGCUCCACACUUGGGAGCCACAUUCGUGUGGUUCUGCCCCAGGAUGGAAGGUGGGGGGUGAGCCCAGGCCCCCUUCUUGCAAGAUGAACGCGCUUGUCAUGGCGCCUCGCAGGCAGGGCCUUGUUACGGGUGGGUCAGCCUCAGGCUUCUGUGUGGCUCGCUUCGGUGCAGCCCCUGUGUGCCCCCUGCGUCCCCACACAGCCGCCCUGCUCCCUCUCAGGCCCAGGCCUCUCUAUUGCCCGCAGGAGGGUGAUCCUGAAUUCAGGGGAAGGGAAGAACGGCGGGCGGGGAAAGGCAUGGCCGGCUCCUUCCCUCUGCUGCAGGACGGGCAGGAUGGCCCUCGCGCUCUGGGCUAGUGGCUCUACCCCGGAGUGGACAUGCAGGCAGGUGAGCUCUCCGUGGUCAGGACUCGUGUGAACAGCACAGUCUGUGGACUGGCUGGCCGUCUGCGUCUCAGCCUGCCACGAGGUCGCCCGGACUGCUGGCUUGGCGGGGUGCACACAGUCCGGGGACAGGGUGCUGACCGCGUGGCUUGGACCACAGUGCACAUUUGGGAGAGCAGCGCGCCCAGCCCUUGAGGUCUGCAGGACAGGAGGGUUCAAGGUCACUGGGUAGGCUUUUUUUUUUUUUUGCAUCGCAGUGACCUCCUUCCAGCGCCCCAGGGGCGGUGGGCUGUGUGAUCGGUCCCCUCCAACCGUGACCCGUGGCAGUGGUGCUGAGAUGCGUGUAACCAGCAAAUGUCACAACAGUCUCUUUCUUCACUGCGUCCUGGCAUUUGAGGCAGGGGCUGUUUUGUAGGGAUUUUCAGUUUAUGUUUUAUCCUUGAUUUCUGCUGAGUUGUAUGUAUAUAUGAUAGCGGGAUCCGUAUUUAUAUCGUAGCGGAGAGGUUGUAAAUGUGUGCAUACUCUGGGAGACAGGCGGCAGAGAAUAAAGCCCCCCUUCAGCCAGCAGCUCUGGGCUGGCUUCUUGCUGUGUCUCAGCCCACGUCCCUACUGCGCGGUAAGGCGGCGUUCCUCGCUUGUCUGCUCAGAGGUGAGGCCGGCAGUCCCUCGUAAUGUCUUUGAUGGGACAUCUCCAAGCCCCUCAGCCAACCUGAGAAGACAGAAACCUCUCAUUCUCCCCGGCCUUGGCACCUGUGGGACAGAGACCCUGUCCCGAACCCGUGUGGAAACGCUCUCUUGUCAUUACCUGGCUCCUGAGUGGGUCCCUCCAGGGGUUUGUUACUGCCCUAGAGAAAACAGCCUGACAGAGGCCGGUCCGUCCAGCUCCAAGGCCCCCCUUUCCAGUUUCGUCCAUCAUGGGACCUAGAGCAUUCGGCGUUCUCACCCCAGCUGCUAUGUUCUUCACUCGCCGCGUCCCCUGUGGACACGGAACCCUGAGCCAGUCUUGCGCAGGCCUCCUGGCCUCACAGAGAAUGCUUGACCAACAACCAGGAGGCCUUCCUGCUCGGUACCCAGCCCACGUGCCCUGCUGGGCACAGGAGGUCCUUCAGACACCCUCCUGCAUGUAUGACCGUGCGCUGUCCUGCUCCACGGUCCCAGCCUGGUGGGCCGCUCGCUGGCCUGAGGAGCAGCGGGCAGGUAGAGCUGCGGGCCAGCAGACCUCUGACAGCAGCCCCGCCCCCCGGGAGCAGGGCUGGAAGUCGGGAGGCCAUUUCGGGUGGGGGCCAGCUGUUGUCACGAGGCCUUGUGUCUUCUCACUGGCAGGAGCGUGGGGCAGGGCCCCCACUUGAGUCUUGGCAAGGCAGGCUUUCGGCCGCCCUGCUCCCGCGCUGCAGACUUGCAGGGGUGGCAGGAGGGUGGAGGGUGCCUGGUUCUCUGUCCUCCCUUUUGGAGUUCAGGAGCUCUCCCCAGGGGGUCAGAGCUGGGAAAUCAUCGAAAACACGGGUGUCCUGCUUUCUGAUGUGUGCUGCUGACGGGUCAGCUGGCUCAGGUCGGAAGAGGGACCCUGUGCUCUGAGGAAACCUCCCCGGGAAGCAUGGAAGUGGCCCUCCGUCCAUCAGGCCCCCGGAAGGGUAGGCGAGGUGGCCGAGGAGCCAGUGACUGGUUGAGAUGUAGGCAGGGACUGGCCCACCCCGGGUGACCCUUGCUGCGGGUGGCUGGACAGGGGACCGUGGCUCAGGCCCUGAGGGCGAGGCCUUCCCUCAUCUCGGGAGCCUCAGGUGUUCACGCAUCCUGCACCAGAGAAAGCUCAGCAUCGCGUCUAAGACAGGCGGCGUCCUCGGCGGUAAGCGGCUUCUGCACCGCGAGCUCGUGGCGCAGGACGGCGAAGCGGUUCCCCGGCAGCCCGGCGGCUUUGAUCCGCAGUGCGAGACUCUGUUUUACUGGAAUACUGAUUUUAUUAUGAAUAAUUGCUGGCGUAGUGUGUUUUUAAACCAUUCGCAUGUGCCACCCCACACGGCGGUACUUGGUGUUUGUGCUGCAAAUGUCGUAAGACUGACAGCUCUUGCAGCGGGCGCGGUGGGGAGGGUGGGGGGCGGCCGGGUUCUCAGUGAAGCGUGGCGGGAUCGGAUCUGGGAUCUCGGAAACAUCCGACUAACCAGAUUCACUUCCUGCGGGAGCUCCGGACACGCCCGCUACUGCCCUGCGUGCUUCUUCGUGGUUCUCUGGACACCCCUGCAGGGAUGGGAUGAGGCCGGGCCAGAUUUCUUGGAGAAGGUCCGUGGGUUUGGAUGUUCUUGCUGCCUGGCUGUCUUGAAGUUCUCCCUCUGUUCCUGGAGCUGCCCAGGACCUGGAGUGAGGGCGAGGCGUUGAUGAGAUCCAGGUUAAACCCUUUUGACAGGAUUACCCCCUGUCCUGUCGUGUCACAUCUGGCCCUGCUGUUCCUGCUGUUCAGGAGUUAACGUCUGGAAGGUCCAUUUCCUCCCACUUGGUGGUUGCUAAGUGAUCUGUGGGCUGUUGCUUGGGUACCAGGGAAGUCAGCGCUGCCAGGGACCCUCCCCUUGCUGGGGGGCGGGGGUCUGCAUGCAUCAGCAGUCGGUGCCCGUGAAGGGGGAUUGGGGUGGCCACGUGCUGAUUUUCUCAGGUGCGCGUUCCCUCUGUGAGUCCUAGCUGAUGCCCUUCCUGCGCCACGAGCUUCGUCCCAGCUCACUCAUCCUUUCGUAUCCUCGCUCUGGUCUCACGGUUUUUUGUUGUUGUUGUUGCUCAGAUGUUCUCAUAUGACCCAUUACAAUAUUAACAGAUUUAAUUACAUUUCUGUGGAAUAGAGUAGGAAAAUUUGCUUGCCAUGUACAUAUGCUAGUUAAAUGCUUAAGAUGCCUGUGAUCGAGUUUCUGCAAACUGUGAGGAGGAAGAUGUUUUAAAUUCCAGAGGGAAACGGGCAGAGCAGAGGACCAGAAAGAUAGUUCAGAGAAGAGGAAGUGCACGUUGUUGGUGAUCGUGAAAAGAUGCUUAAUAUUAACCUCAGGAGUAAUCAGGGACUCCCAUCAGAAGAACAAGUCCUGGGCUCCCCUGUCCUGUGGCAGGAGGCAAACACACAAGUUUCGAAGCUGGUGUGAGGGCUGGUGUAGGCCUGCCCCCCGCCCCCGGGCUGCUGUGACGGGUUGGGGGGGGCGAAGGAGAAGCCCUUGGACGCUAUCUAUUAACACACAAAAUUUAUCUGUCUCUGAACCCAGCUGUUCUACUUUUUCCCCUUACAAAGAAGCAGCUAAUGGUGGUUUAAAAAAAAAAAAAAAGCCACCAGAAUGCCCUUGAGUCGGGGAAUGGUGGGAUGAGAUUGGCGUGUAUGCACGGUGGAACAUUCUGGAGAUGGCCAGUCAGGGUGAAUGAGAACAUUGCCAGGCCGGGGGCACAGAGGUAAACGUGUGGGGAGCGGAUGGUGCGUUUUGGUGCAGUGCUGGAGGCUGAGUUCUGUUCCGGGGGGUGGAGGGGAGACUGGACAUUCAUUCUGGAAACUUCCGCCCAUGGGGAAGUGCCAGGGGACCAAAAGCCGUUCCUUGAGGGUGUUGUGAAAGUGGUUUUAUAUUCCAAAACAACAUUUUAAAAAGACGGAACGUGAACAUUUAUUACAUGUACUAGUUCUACCCACUUUCCUAUCUUGUGUCUCACCCAGAGUGGGAAGGCUCUCGCGAGUCCUUGAUAGAGUGCGGGGACCCCAGAGCAGCUGCAGAUGUGGGGGCUGGGCGCUGGGCAGAGCGAGGGUUUGAGGGGUGAGCUGCACGUGUCCUUUCUGCGGGAGGCCCUCACCCCCAGGUGGGACAGCGCUCUGCUGCUGCCAUUUCGUUUCCUUUUUACAGAAAUCAUGUACUCCCUGUACACGUCGUAGACAACACAGUAAAUGCAAGAGACAGUUUGCAGAAAAACAGAAGUGGAAAAAAAAAUCUCUGUUGUUCCUAAACACCCCAAGUCAGCCAUUAUCCUUCUUUGGAUGUGUUCCUUGCACAUGGGCCCGUGGUCCAUACAGUCUUGCUU